Molecule: unclassified non-coding RNA, 345 nt
Filed under: soil metagenome
Description: partial contains 5.8S ribosomal RNA, internal transcribed spacer 2, and large subunit ribosomal RNA
Rfam family: 5.8S ribosomal RNA (bases 1-121)
Source: RNAcentral
GAUGAAGAACGUAGCGAAAUGCGAUAAGUAAUGCGAAUUGCAGAAUUCCAGUGAGUCAUCGAAUCUUUGAACGCACAUUGCGCCCGCCAGUAUUCUGGCGGGCAUGCCUGUUCGAGCGUCAUUUCAACCCUCAAGCCCCCGGGCUUGGUGUUGGGGAUCGGCGUGCCCUCGCGGCGCGCCGUCCCCUAAAUCUAGUGGCGGUCUCGCUGUAGCUUCCUCUGCGUAGUAGCAACACUCGCACUGGAUCGCAGCGCGGCCACGCCGUUAAACCCCCCACUUCUGAAAGUUUGACCUCGGAUCAGGUAGGAAUACCCGCUGAACUUAAGCAUAUCAAUAAGCGGAGGA